RNAcentral lists this ribosomal RNA (468 nucleotides) under uncultured bacterium. RNAcentral's name for it is "partial 16S ribosomal RNA". It matches the Rfam family "Bacterial small subunit ribosomal RNA", at positions 28 to 507 of the family's 1533-position model. The record is from RNAcentral.
GAUGAACGCUGGCGGCGUGCUUAACACAUGCAAGUCGAACGGUAAGGGCGGGGCUUUCUCUGCUGGAUCAGUGGCGAACGGGUGAGUAACACGUGAGCAAUCUGCCCCUGACUCUGGGAUAAGCUCUGGAAACGGCGUCUAAUACUGGAUACGAGCUGCUACUGCAUCUUCAGCAGCUGGAAAGAACUUCGGUCAGGGAUGGGCUCGCGGCCUAUCAGCUUGUUGGUGAGGUAACGGCUCACCAAGGCGUCGACGGGUAGCCGGCCUGAGAGGGUGACCGGCCACACUGGGACUGAGAUACGGCCCAGACUCCUACGGGAGGCAGCAGUGGGGAAUAUUGCACAAUGGGCGAAAGCCUGAUGCAGCAACGCCGCGUGAGGGACGACGGCCUUCGGGUUGUAAACCUCUUUUAGCAGGGAAGAAGCGAAAGUGACGGUACCUGCAGAAAAAGCGCCGGCUAACUACGUG